GCGCGAAAACUUCGCAAUGUGCGAAAGCACGACGAGGGAAUCCCAAGUGCUGGCUCGUUAGAGUCAGCUGUUUUUAUGUCUAAAAAGCAUAGAGAGUAAGGGCUGGGUAAGACGGGUGCCAGCCGCCGCGGUAAUACCUGCAGCUCAAGUGGUGACCGCUAUUAUUGGGCCUAAAACGUCCGUAGCCUGUUUAUUAAAUGCCUAGGUAAAUUGUAUGGCUUAACCAUGCGAAUUCUGGGUAGACUGGUAAACUUGAGAUCGGGAGAAGUUAGAGGUACUCCUGGGGUAGAGGUGAAAUUCUGUAAUCCUAGGGGGACCACCAGUGGCGAAGGCGUCUAGCUAGAACGAGUUUGACGGUGAGGGACGAAGCCCUGGGGCGCAAACGGGAUUAGAUACCCCGGUAGUCCAGGGUGUAAACGCUGCUUGCUUGAUGUUGGUUGGGCUCCGAGCCCAAUCAGUGUCGGAGAGAAGUUGUUAAGCAAGCUGCCUGGGAAGUAGAUACGCGUAGACUGAAACUUAAAGGUAAGUUAGGUC
RNAcentral lists this ribosomal RNA (534 nucleotides) under uncultured Thermoplasmatales archaeon. RNAcentral describes it as "bacterial SSU rRNA". It matches the Rfam family "Archaeal small subunit ribosomal RNA", at positions 339 to 873 of the family's 1478-position model. The record is from RNAcentral. Lineage: Archaea; Methanobacteriati; Thermoplasmatota; Thermoplasmata; Thermoplasmatales.